GUUAUUGCCAGGGUUUUUAUUUUAUACUUUAAGCUCUUAAUUUAUUUUUUAUGUUUUUAAAAUAUUCAUUUUUUUGAAUAUUUAAAAACAUAAAAAAUAAAUUAGAUAUUGACAUAGAUUAAACAAAAAUAUAUAUUAUUCUAUGUUGCAUAAACAAAUUGGCAAAGUAGAGAUGGAAGAUAAAAAUAUGGUCAAAGUAAUA
RNAcentral lists this unclassified non-coding RNA (202 nucleotides) under [Borrelia] turdi. The record is from RNAcentral. Lineage: Bacteria; Pseudomonadati; Spirochaetota; Spirochaetia; Spirochaetales; Borreliaceae.